This 6958-nucleotide long non-coding RNA is filed under the name Brassica napus (rape). RNAcentral describes it as "long non-coding RNA (BNAP_LNC017142)". The record is from RNAcentral. Lineage: Eukaryota; Viridiplantae; Streptophyta; Magnoliopsida; Brassicales; Brassicaceae.
UCCCCCAUUUUCUUCCCAAGACUCAGCAUCCUUGCUCUCCUUCCCAGUUUCUUUCCCUUUGAAUCAUCGUCUUCGCUUGAAACUACUGACCAAGAUGGUGAUGACUGAACAAAAGUGCUGCCUCUUGAGUUCGUCUCCUGCUUUUCGCUGCUGCUGGGUAGCAGCAAUGGGGUUUUCAGUUCUUCCAGAGAUUUGUCACUCUCUACUGUUUCAGGUCUGGAGGAACUUGACACUGCGGUAGACAUAACCUCUGCUUCUGUAUUCGGUUUCUGGACGGCAUUGGCAGCUUCAUGCACUUGAUCAGACUGAGCACAGGAGGAAGAAGACACAGUCUCCGCUUCAGAAAUAACCGGCUUCGUAGAUGGCUUGUCAGAUUUAGACUUCCCCUCUGUUGCCUGGUGAUCGCUUUCUUGAUUCAGCCACAUGAAUGGAGCGGCUUUGCGUUGAACCCAAUCGUCUUUUUCAGCAAUCAUCCACGGAACCGUUAGGCUUUCACAGUUUGGAAGAACCACUGCUUCUCUUAUUGCCGUCUGCAAGAAUCAUAAUGUUAUCUCACAUUCUGUUAGCUCAAAUUUCACUAGAUACCAAACAAAAGAGAACCCAAAGGAGAAGGUGUGCCUACCUUAAACCGGUUGAUCAAGAACAUAGCAACAUGGCUGUUGGUGAUUUUGUGUUCCCCAACAGAAGAUGCGAGAUCGAAUUGUACAUCGGGCAUGCUCGUGAAUCCAAACCAUAGUUGAUCAGAAGGAGGCGGCUUCAUGUGUACACGCAGUGUCCCUCUAAGAGAAGAAAUCCGUAUUGACAAAGAGAUUGGUACCUGCAAUUGAGAAACAGAUAAAAUCUAAGAUCCCACACUGAGGAAAAGUUACAAAAAAUCCAACAAAACAGAACAAAAAAUCAUCUUGUAGAUAUUUAAAAAAAAAAAAAAAAGAGAAGAGGAGAACCAACCUGGGAAACUUGCUCAGCAAUAUUUUUUAGAAUAGACUUCCACCUGGAUACACCAUUUGGAGAAGCUUUGGUUCCUUUUGAGCCAUUGGAUUCAUCUGAAAGCAACAAAAAGAGGGUAAGAACAAUUGUAAUCAUCAUCCUGAGCAAUACUUUUGAACAUGCAUUACGCUAGCAAGAACUCGGUAGGUGAAACGAGAGGUGACUGCAGUAAUCAAUAUUCAGUAAACAUUGAACUUGCUUGUUUUUACCAUUUUUCACUUCUCCUGCAUCAACAGGGAUGACUAAUUGCUUUUCAAAAUCUUCAACACCGUUUGACGAGACUUCUUCCCCAGCAGAACUUGGCUGUAGCCUUGUGUCGUUUAUGCCUUUUUGAAGAUCCACCUCCCGGAUAUUAACCCGUGUUUCAACGUCAAUCACCGGUUCACCAGAGUAUUCAAUAUCUACCUCGAACGCCCACACACCACUCAUCUCCAUUGGAAGAACCCGAGUACCAUGUAUAUGAGGUGGGAGAUUACCAAGGUCAACAUCGGAGCAGAUUAGUUCUCCUAUGUAACUCGGAGUCCUCAUGUUGGAUAACAUCCUCUGUUUAAAAACCACAAAGACGUAAGGAAAUCAAUUCAUCUCAAAUUUUUGAGUUCAUGAAAGCAUGCAGACCUGGAUUCGCGCUUGCAUUGAGUCCUUCACUCCUGUUUUCCGUAUGAGAUCGAAGAAAAGCCUGGAGAUUAGCAAGUUCCACGCCAAUGUUCCUUCAUCAAUGUCAAACUUCUCUUCAGAGUCUCCAUCCGAAACCCCGGAGAAAUGACUUGUAUGGCUCACGGAACGUGAAAAGACAGGCGCAUCAGCUUCAUCUCUGACAUCAUCUCCCACCCUCUUCCCUGGAACGCUGCUUCCAUUUUGUGAAUCUUGGUAAGAGCGCACAGAGGUUCUCCUCUCUUCACGAUUUGAUCGCUUUCUUGAAAACCUCCUCAAGAACAAACGAACUUUGGAGGAAGAGCCGUCCGUUCUGUUCCCUCUGUCAAUCGUCUCAAAACUAAACCCAAGAGACGGUUUCAUAAACGAAGGAUACGCAGCGUUGAGAGACGUGACGUAACUACGGAAGUCUUGUUGUAACUUGGUGGAGUACCAAAUAAACCUUUCCGGAUUCUCGCAAGAAGCAAGACGAAGAGCUUUACACCAUGAUUCCUUUUCACAAGAAGUCUCGAGAUAGAUGUAAAACACCUUGUUUCCUUUGUAUACGUCUGAGGAACUCUUGGUUUCGACUUUUAUAGGAAACCUUUUGGCCCUGACAAAAGAACAAUCAAGCUUCAAUAUAUUCCACCAAAGCUUCACAAUUCAAAUUGAUGUAUUGUAUGGAUAAGAGUUGGUGGUACCAUUUUCUUGUAGGGAGAUCAGAGCCUGAAACAGCCUCCACAGAGCAGCAUUUUAAUGAAACAGUAGUGAGAGUGCCGUCAGACUCUGACAAGAUGAGUUUGUGGUCUUUGAUCCGAGCGAAUUUGCGAGUUGGAUGAAUCUCCAAGAAAGCUCUCUUCCUCUUCUGCUCUGCUGGUAACUUCUCCUUCCACAUGUUCUUGAGACCUUCAUCCAACUCCAAAACCCAGAUCGUUCCCUGGAAAAUAUUAAAAACUUUCAUUACAGCAAAACAAGACCGAACAGAAACUGUCUGGUUCUAAUGAUCCAAAAACUCAAAAUUCACGGUCUCAUCCGAAACAGUUGACUUGAACUCAACAACUCGCAAGUAACGCAACAUGCAAACAUUCGGAGAUUAGAACCUAGAGUUUAGAGGAUUAAUCGAGGAAUUAAAGAUCGAUCACCUGUUUGUUGGAUUCUCGAGGAUUGCUGAUCUCCUUGGUAGAUUGAUCGGAACCGGGUUUUGAAUCAACCCGGUUAUCUCUCUUCCGGUUCAAUCGGUUCAGAAGAUACAUCAAACCAGCAGCUUCAGCCCCCAAGACGGCGACAAUUCCCAGGAAGAACCCGGAGAGGAACACGAAACUCGUGAAGGAAAACAUAUCCUCCGGGGAAGCUGGAAAGGCUUCAAUGAGAUGAAGGUUUCUUGUGAGGGAAUCAAGAGGAGGAGAAGAUUCGUGGCGUCGGGGUUGUUCAUGUCAGUGUGCAAUAACAAGGACAAUGCCAAAAGAUAGGAAGAGGAGAAGAUACUGUGGGAUUAGUCAUCUCUCUCUCUCUCUCUCUCUCUGGAAACGUAAUUCUCAACUUCCAACCAAUACUAAUUUGACGAAUCAGAAACAUAUUUAAUCUCUUAAGUUAAUUAAUAAUAACUUCUUCUUUUUUUGUCAUCAAGUUAAUUAAUAAUAACUAGUUGAUAUACUAUACUUAAUAUUUAAAAAGUCACGACCAAGUGUUUUUAGAAUUAAAAUUUCAUAAGAAGUAGAUAAAUAUAUUUUAAACUUCAGGUGCAAAAAAAAAAAACUGUUUCAUUGGUCAAAAUAUAUAAAAUAAAACAUGUUUUAUCAAGUAAGAAACUAUGAUUAUAUAGUAGGCUUGAGAGUUCUUAACUCAACCCGAAGUACCGACCUUAACCCGAACCGGAAAAACCGAAACCGAAUCUGAAUCUAAACUUAGCCAUACUAUGCACCUCAUGCCCAACAGGAUUAUACAAGAUGGCAUUGUUGAAAGUAAGUCUAACAUCUUCAGCAAACUCCAACGGCGACUCAUACAAACCUUCCCCUAACUUAGCCUUCACUGUACCCAAAUCCAUAGGCUCUUUAACAAUGGUGUGGUAAUCAUGCAAACCAAACCCUUUGGCAUCAACGGGCACAUUGAACACCCAUCCAUCCUUAUGCUUCAUCAACUUCGUCAGCAAAUUGAGACAUUUCUUGAAAAUCUGAACCGUACCUUUAUCACCUCUCUUAACUCCAUUCCCAGUUUUCAGCUUCUUGUUUCCCCCUUUACCCAUGGACCCGGUUGUAAAGUUUCCGCCUUGGGGAUCGAACUGUGCGAUCAAGCUCCGAACUUCGUCUAGCUCAGCUGUUAGUCUCCGCUUCAAGCUCCUGACUUCAAGCUUCGAAAUUGAGCUCAAGCUAACCUUCAACAUGGGAGGAUGAUCUUCCUCCUCCGACGCGAACGGGUUUGACGGAGAGAGGAGAGCAGCCGAUCGCGCGUGUUGAGGAACCACCAUCGGCUUGGUCCGCCUGUGCUUCGUCGUCUUCGAAGCUCCACCUCCUGAAGACAUUUCUAGGUUUAGCUCGGAGGACCGUGAUUGAGGGGAUUCAAGGUCGAUGAAAUCGAAAUCGAAAUCGAAAGAGAAGGUUUGAAUCUACAUGAAGAUCGGUUCUCGAUUUUGCAAUUUACGAAAACCCUAGGGAAGCAAGCAAAUACUGUGGCAACAAUAGCUCACGCGCUUGAAACUCACGCGCCAUUACCAAUUUUUUACUACUAUAUAAUAAAUCCUUUGUUUUCUGAAUGAUACUUACUUGCAAUCAACAAUUGAUAGUUUGAUAAUAAUACCUUUCCAACACUAGCAGUUUAUACACUGUAGUGUUCAAGUACGAUGGAGUAUAUAUAGCUCCAGCGAGGAUAAGAUCCAACUUGUUCACGGUGGUAACUAUUUUAUUUGAACAUACAAUCAUGUAGGCUGUUCUUUAAUUGGCCUCAAAACUCAAUAAUUAAUCAUCUAAUAGGUCUCUAAAGCAAGUUUUUAAUCAGAUACAUACAGUUUAAUCUAUCUUCUUCUUCUGUUUUUUACUAAAAGAUUGUAUUACAUCAUGGUUUGUGAUGUAUCAUGUGAUUGAGAGUACUUUCUGUGAGUCUGUCUCACAUGAAAUGACAAAAUAGGUGACGAGGAAAGCCGAAACCGGAUCGAUAUUUUAGAGAACUGUAACUCGAUCCACUUGUCACACAUGCAUAGAAAUGUAGUCACAACCUGGAUAGUUAUACAAACACAUGUACACUAGGAACUGUACAGAUUGAGAGAGGAUCAGGUAAGAUCGAGGAAUGGAUAGACACGAACAGGAUCCACGUGCUCAGCUUUAGACACUCUUUAUAUCAACAUCUGUCUCCAAAUUACUUAUAACCACUUUUGCUUCUUUUAAGCCCUCGCUCUCUUAUGUUACUCUUCCCUUUCCUCUUCUUUAUCAAAGAUAUUGGUUUGAAUCUUUCAUUUAAAUAAAGAGUUCUUAAAUGGCAACAUAUGCUAGAAGAACAUACGGAUUUGGGAGAGCUGAUGAGGCGACGCACCCGGACUCCAUUAGAGCCACUUUGGCCGAGUUUCUCUCCACUUUCGUCUUUGUCUUUGCUGGAGAAGGCUCCAUCCUCUCUCUAGGUUCGUAGUUCUUUUAGCUAUAUAUGCGUAGGAGUUAUCCAAUAACUUUUAGCCAAUUAGUAUUGCCAUCUUUUCUUACAAAAAUAUUAAUCACAACGUCAGAUAUUUAUUUAUAUCAAACAUUUUUAGAUUUAUCAAGAUUUUUUUUAUUAUUAUUUAUCAAGAUUUUUGUUCUAACAAAGACGGUAGAAAGAAGAAAACAUUUAUCUUAUUCGGUAAUUAAUAUAUUGGUACGAGCAGACAAGUUGUAUUGGGACACUGAGGCUCACACGGGGACAGACACGCCGGGAGGGUUACUUUUGGUGGCGUUAGCUCAUGCAUUGGCACUAUUUGCGGCAGUUUCGGCGGCCAUCAAUGUCUCUGGUGGUCACGUGAACCCUGCGGUUACUUUUGCUGCUCUAAUCGGUGGCAGGCUCUCAGUGAUCCGAGCUAUCUACUAUUGGGUUGCUCAGCUUCUAGGUGCUAUCCUCGCUUGUCUCUUGUUGAGGCUUUCCACUAAUGGCAAGGUAUAUCAUUUCUCAUCGAAUUUUGAAAAUAUAUGCUCCUGAGUCCUGACUGUGACUGUGAUGCAGAGACCAAUAGGGUUCCAUGUAGCGUCUGGAGUCAGUGAGCUUCACGGGCUAUUGAUGGAGAUCAUACUUACAUUCGCAUUGGUUUAUAUCUUCUACUCAACUGUAAUCGAUCCCAAGAGAGGGAGUAUUGGGAUCAUAGCCCCCCUAGCCAUCGGGCUCAUAGUUGGGGCAAACAUGUUGGUAGGAGGACCAUUCGACGGAGCGUCAAUGAAUCCGGCUAGAGCCUUCGGUCCAUCAUUGGUUGGAUGGAGAUGGGAAAACCAUUGGAUAUAUUGGGUUGGGCCCUUCAUUGGAGGUGCACUCGCCGCACUUAUCUAUGAGUACAUGAUCAUCCCCAACGUGAACGAGCCUCCUCGCCAUAGUGUCCACCAACCAUUGGCCCCGGAAGAUUACUAGACCGUACCAAGCUACAUGUCGAAGGUUCUCUCUUUGUAUCAAGAAUCUCUGUUUUGCUUGUGUUGUUGUUUGUAUAUUUGUUUUUUUUUUCUUGCAUGCAACUUUAUAUGUAUAAUUGAGUCCAGACCAGGACAGUAUCUGUGUGUUCUUGUAUCAUAUGUAACUAUUUGAUAAUAAAAAAAUUCGGUAUUUCAUUAAAAAUGGUCAAUUAUGGGAUCAAGACGGAGACAACGAUGGCUUUUCUCUCAGAGUACUGUACACGUAACAGUGCCGGUCGGUUUCUAUAAAUCAGUUUAUGUAUCUGAAACCUGCGAAGGUUUCUUUCUUCUCAUGUUAAGAAGGUCCUCUCAUCUUGUCAACUAUCUGUCUACUCUUUUCCUCCAUGUGACGCCUCUUCUCAUCCAACUUCUCCCCCAUUUUCUUCCCAAGACUCAGCAUCCUUGCUCUCCUUCCCAGUUUCUUUCCCUUUGAAUCAUCGUCUUCGCUUGAAACUACUGACCAAGAUGGUGAUGACUGAACAAAAGUGCUGCCUCUUGAGUUCGUCUCCUGCUUUUCGCUGCUGCUGGGUAGCAGCAAUGGGGUUUUCAGUUCUUCCAGAGAUUUGUCACUCUCUACUGUUUCAGGUCUGGAGGAACUUGACACUGCGGUAGACAUAACCUCUGCUUCUGUAUUCGGUUUCUGGACGGCAUUGGCAGCUUCAUGCACUUGAUCAGACUGAGCACAGGAGGAAGAAGACACAGUCUCCGCUUCAGAAAUAACCGGCUUC